This 1503-nucleotide long non-coding RNA is filed under the name Carica papaya (papaya). RNAcentral's name for it is "long non-coding RNA (CPAP_LNC012121)". The record is from RNAcentral. Lineage: Eukaryota; Viridiplantae; Streptophyta; Magnoliopsida; Brassicales; Caricaceae.
UGGAACUCUACUACAUAGAAUAUAACACCAAUCAAAUGUGGAGUUUUCUAGCAGAAACAUUAUCAACCAUUACCUUAAUCCUUCCUGAGAAGAUGAAAGGGGCUUCCACAAAUUUAUAGAGGCAGAAAUUGACAGGUUAAAUUACCUUAUCUUCAUAUUCUGUAGUUUAGAGUCACACAAAUAGUUAACCUUAAAAAUAUUCUCUACAUCUUGGGAAAUGGCCCGGAAGGCCUUUCAACCUAGCCUAUCACCUAUCAUGGUGGGAGAAUAAAAACCAAGUUCUCCAGUGUGAGCUCAGAGCGUAUAUGCAAUGACUAGAAUUCUUCCAUUUCCAAGCAAAAAGGCUAGCAUACCGUACCCAAGGCCUUUCAACCUAGCCUAUCACCUAUUAUGGUGGGAGAAUAAAAAUCAAAUUCUCCACUGUGAGCUCAGCCUGUAUAUGCAAUGACUAGAAUGCUUCCAUUUCCAAGCAAAAAGGCUAGCAUAUCAUACCCAAGCCACCAAGCACCUCAAGCAACAUGAGAAGAAUAUAUGGCCUGAAAACAGAGGAAGAAAAAGUACCCAAGAGGAACUCAAUCGAAUGAAAGCACCAGCCACAAUACAAGUACAGCCCAUAGUUUCUUGUGUGGGAAUUCAUAAACAGGUUCAUGUAGAGGUUCAAACAGUUUUCUAACCCAAGAUUAAUCUAAUUUAAGCCCCAAAAGAUCUAGGUUUUGUGUUCUUAGACAUUCUAUUUUUCUAGUAAAAUUAUAUAUUGUCUUUGCAUUCAAUGAGGGGAAACAGGCACAAGGCACCAUCAGUAUAAUCAAAUUCAGUUUCGACUACUUAGCACCAAUAGCAAUACCACAAUACAGCAUCACUAAGGAUCAGCAGAUAACUUUCGAUCAGUCAGCUAUGAGCUUAAUUUCCACCAAUCCAUUUCGAAAAGAGAGGCAACUGAGAGUUCAUGGUUAGAAAAGAAAUACAACCUACCAACUCGAAACAUCUCAACAAGGUUAAGGAAACAAAAACACCUAGAACCUGGAAGCUCGGAGGCAACUGAAAACUAACCUCUCAAGAAAUUGGAUUGAGCAGCGUAAACAACUGGCUUUGGACAAGGUCUUACUACAGUUCUGAGCUUAGCAAGUUGGAGUCUUGACGUUAAAGAUUGCUCCCUUAACCUCAAAAUGGAGUUUGGGGAUAGAAACAGGGAGUGGGUGAAACCCGGAGUCUGGGUUUUGUAACAUUUUGGAGAAGAAAGCGAAACAGAACAAGGGUUUCUCAGCACAAGCAAAGAAUCCAUCCGACAUAUAAUUUUUCCUACUUUUAUAAGUUAGAAAAAGAAAACUCUGCCUGUAAUUAUAUUACUUGUGGGUUUUAAUCCAAACAAGACGAACAGAGAAUCUCAGAAGAACUCAUGGUCACAAAACAAAGAAUGGGAGGCAAGGGUCCACAUGAGUCUUAAACUCAAUUUCUCAUGACUUUUGUGAUCUAGGCUUGGGCUUGCACAAAGCAUGCUUUCUG